UACGUAGGGGGCAAGCGUUAUCCGGAUUUACUGGGUGUAAAGGGAGCGUAGACGGCACUGCAAGUCUGGAGUGAAAGCCCGAGGCCCAACCACGGGACUGCUCUGGAAACUGCGGGGCUGGAGUGCAGGAGGGGUAAGCGGAAUUCCUAGUGUAGCGGUGAAAUGCGUAGAUAUUAGGAGGAACACCGGUGGCGAAGGCGGCUUACUGGACUGUAACUGACGUUGAGGCUCGAAGGCGUGGGGAGCAAACA
Molecule: ribosomal RNA, 251 nt
Filed under: uncultured bacterium
Lineage: Bacteria
Description: partial 16S ribosomal RNA
Rfam family: Bacterial small subunit ribosomal RNA
Source: RNAcentral